UACAGAGGGGGCAAGCGUUGUUCGGAAUUAUUGGGCGUAAAGGGCGCGUAGGCGGCCUGUUAAGUCGAACGUGAAAUCCCCGGGCUCAACCCGGGAACUGCGUCCGAUACUGGCAGGCUUGAAUUCGGGAGAGGGAUGUGGAAUUCCAGGUGUAGCGGUGAAAUGCGUAGAUAUCUGGAGGAACACCGGUGGCGAAGGCGGCAUCCUGGACCGAUAUUGACGCUGAUGCG
RNAcentral lists this ribosomal RNA (230 nucleotides) under uncultured bacterium. RNAcentral describes it as "partial 16S ribosomal RNA". It matches the Rfam family "Bacterial small subunit ribosomal RNA", at positions 524 to 753 of the family's 1533-position model. The record is from RNAcentral.